RNAcentral lists this unclassified non-coding RNA (215 nucleotides) under uncultured bacterium. Its description in RNAcentral is "16S-23S intergenic spacer". The record is from RNAcentral.
UCUGGAAUGCCGAGUAAGUCAGAUGAUUGGCCGAAAGGCUUCAGAAGUCGCCCGCACUUUCCACGCUCGACUAUUGACUACGCCAUCAGCAAUCAGCCAUCAGCGGUUUGGCAUGGCUGAUCGCUGACGGCCGAUGGCUGAAGCUGCAGUUCAGCUCUUUGACAACUGACGUUCGUGUGAUGUGUGGUGUUCGAGGAAUCACACCGAGAACUACG